CCUAACACAUGCAAGUCGAGCGGUAGAGAGGUGCUUGCAUCUCUUGAGAGCGGCGGACGGGUGAAGUAAUGCCUAAGGUAAUCUGCCUAGUGGGUGGGGAUAACGUUCGGAAACGGACGCUAAUACCGCAUACGUCCUACGGGAGAAAGCGGGGGGAUCUUCGGACCUCGCGCCAUUAGAUGAGCCUAGGUCGGAUUAGCUAGUUGGUGAGGUAAUGGCUCACCAAGGCGACGAUCCGUAACUGGUCUGAGAGGAUGAUCAGUCACACUGGAACUGAGACACGGUCCAGACUCCUACGGGAGGCAGCAGUGGGGAAUAUUGGACAAUGGGCGAAAGCCUGAUCCAGCCAUGCCGCGUGUGUGAAGAAGGUCUUCGGAUUGUAAAGCACUUUAAGUUGGGAGGAAGGGUAGUAACCUAAUACGUUGCUACUUUGACGUUACCGACAGAAUAAGCACCGGCUAACUUCGUG
Molecule: ribosomal RNA, 469 nt
Filed under: uncultured bacterium
Lineage: Bacteria
Description: bacterial SSU rRNA
Rfam family: Bacterial small subunit ribosomal RNA
Source: RNAcentral